RNAcentral lists this transfer RNA (77 nucleotides) under Mycoplasmataceae bacterium. RNAcentral's name for it is "tRNA-Arg". It matches the Rfam family "tRNA". Rfam says of the family: Transfer RNA (tRNA) molecules are approximately 80 nucleotides in length. Their secondary structure includes four short double-helical elements and three loops (D, anti-codon, and T loops). Further hydrogen bonds mediate the characteristic L-shaped molecular structure. tRNAs have two regions of fundamental functional importance: the anti-codon, which is responsible for specific mRNA codon recognition, and the 3' end, to which the tRNAs corresponding amino acid is attached (by aminoacyl-tRNA synthetases). tRNAs cope with the degeneracy of the genetic code in two manners: having more than one tRNA (with a specific anti-codon) for a particular amino acid; and 'wobble' base-pairing, i.e. permitting non-standard base-pairing at the 3rd anti-codon position. Lineage: Bacteria; Bacillati; Mycoplasmatota; Mollicutes; Mycoplasmatales; Mycoplasmataceae. The record is from RNAcentral.
GCACUUUUAGCUCAAUUGGAUAGAGCUUUUGACUUCGGAUCAAAGGGUUGUGGGUUCGAAUCCCGUGAAGUGCGCCA